This 277-nucleotide ribosomal RNA is filed under the name uncultured prokaryote. RNAcentral's name for it is "partial 16S ribosomal RNA". It matches the Rfam family "Bacterial small subunit ribosomal RNA", at positions 524 to 800 of the family's 1533-position model. The record is from RNAcentral.
UACGUAGGGAGCGAGCGUUGUCCGGAAUUACUGGGCGUAAAGGGCGUGUAGGCGGGGAUUUAAGUAAGGUGUGAAAACUCCAGGCUCAACUUGGAGAUUGCACUUUAAACUGGAUCUCUUGAGGGCAGGAGAGGAAAGUGGAAUUCCUAGUGUAGCGGUGAAAUGCGUAGAUAUUAGGAGGAACACCAGUGGCGAAGGCGACCUGCUGGACAUUAACUGACGCUGAGGCGCGAAAGCGUGGGGAGCGAACAGGAUUAGAUACCCCGGUAGUCCCUGA